CUGGCGGCUCAGAGGGGAUCGCAGUUUGCCUUAGGGGCUUGUAGGGUGGUGGGUCUAUGCAGUUAGCCCGUGGGAAAGCCCGCGGCUGACUGUGACUGAGGCUGACCUCCAAAGUGGAUAUCCCCGCCAUACACACGUCCCAAGGCCGGGCUUCCGGUAGAUGGCACAGCCUAAACCGCAGGGCUUUGGACUCUAAACGUCCCCCUCACGGGUCUCCUGAGCUUGUUUAGGGCGUAUGUGAAGGUGGUAGAAAGCAGAGGCUCUGAAGAGUCGGCGCUACAACCGCACGAGGCUAUGUUUCCUUAUCUGUGAAAUGGGCGGUGGCCGUUUCCCUUGGAAGGCUGUUGGAAGGCACGGUUUUUCUGUGUAACAGAGCCCUGGCUCUCCUGGACUCGAUUUGUAGACCAGGCUGACCUUGAACUCACAGAGGGUCGGCCUGCCUCCUGAGCGCUGGCAUUAAAGGCGUGCACCACCACACCUGGCUUUGAUGUUAAUUCUGAACUGUCAACUUGGCUGGAUUUAAAAUCGACCAGGAGGCCAGGCUUUGGGCGUGUCUUAUUUCCAGAGAGGUCUGCUUCUGACGAGCUGUUCUUGUUAACUGGAGCAUAUCAACCCUGGACAUCGUGUUUUGUGCUUAAAAGCUCACCUUGAGAAAGGCUCAGAGCUCCAGUGGGAUCCUAACAGCCAGUGCCGUCCCUGACAAAGGCUUUCUGUUGGCUUAAGCCCGUGUCUGAGCAGUCUUGUCUAGUGGACAGUCCACAGCCAUUGAGCUGAGCACCAGCCCAGGGCUCUCUGCUUCCUGACUGUGGCUGCAGUGUGACCAUCUGCCUGACGAUCCUGUCACCAUGCUUUCCCUGCCCCGGGGGACUGUCCCCUCAGACCUGGAGCCAACACAGAUGCUCCCUUUGCUGUUAGGCACUUUGUCAUAGCAACCAGACAAAUAACCAACACGCCACUUCCUUGUUUGUCCAGUUUCUAGAGAGGCUAGAAUUCUUUCCUUAGCUGGAGGGCCCUUCUUCACCUUGCGUCCGUUUCCAUCAUCGCGUCUCUUCUCUCUGAUUUGACGGUCCUGUCUCCCUCUCGUAAGACCUUGUCACGACACUGCGCCCAACCAGAUAAUCUACCUCCUGUCUCAGGACGUUUGACUUAACCACUUUCUCCAAAGUCCCCUUUGGCUGAACCUGUGGGCUGGCUGCCCCAUGCAGGGUGACGGAGGUCUAAUGCCGACCUCUCACACAGCCACGGAGGGUGCAUGUUCUCAGGGCAUAUGUGCACCUCUUCAGGGCGACUCUUCUGCAGGUGGCGUUGGAGGCAGGCAAAGCUGACAGGCUGCCCGACUCUGCAAGGCUCAGGGAUUGAACUGACAGCAGUGACAAGGGACUGAAGAAAGGACAGACACACAGACACGUCUACGGAAAAGCCAGGCUCAUGCCGUCUGUGCUUGCUCUGACAAGGGUACCAGCCACAAAAUGACCGGGAAGGUCAGUGAAUUUAUUCUGCAUAGGACAUGGAGGAGGAGCCAGCUAGUCUCUGCAGGAGUGUCUGUGGCAUGACGGACACACGGCAUUCAGUCCCUGAACUAGUGAUGGGGAGAAGCAGCUAUCAAACACCGGGGCUGACUGUGGGCCAGGCACCACUUUACCCACAAUUGUUGGCUUGGCUCCCUCAAAAACUGGAAGAUCGGUAUUUUUAGCCCCAUUUUAGAGAUGAAGAAACGGAGUCUCUCUCUGUGUGUGGUACUGGUUUCACAGGAUACAGUUUUAAGUCAGCCGUGACUCUCCUCGCACUAGGACUGAUUUGGCACCAAGGCCUGUGUGCUAAACCUGGGCCGUGCUGGCUUUAUCGCUGCCCGUACGUUUUAGGGGCGGAAACUGAAGCUUGGUAAGAUUGCGCAACUGGGCCAGGCUGAUGAGCCACCCUCAGACCAGGUGUGCGCACUUCAAAGGUCAAGCUGGUCUCUUCCGCCUUCGCACACAGUCACUUAUUAAUCUUCACUACCACGCCGCAUGGCUCCAGUUUUAUAGAUCUUUGUCCAGAUCUUUCUCCCAACUCUAACCGCCCAACUUUGUGAGGAGCCACAUGGGGCCUAGACCUGCAUCCUGUUCGUCUUUGUGUUCUGUACCUGGUGCAGGGGCUGGCCCAGAGCGCCUGCCUACCUGGCACAGGAGCCAACGGGGGAAAUGGGCAAUGCUUCCCAUUCACAGCUUUGAUAAAAGCAGGGAGCUGCUCCCUCCAGGCGUUCCCUGCAGCCGCUAGAUGCAGAGGGGCUGAGAAUUAACUCCUUCUGAGUCCAAGCUUGGCUCCUCGCUCAAGCCUCAUGGCCCGUAGGAACAUUUGGGCCUGGUGUAGCGGUGUAUGCCUACAACCCACAAGUCAGGGGACUGAGACAGGAGAAUCAAGAGUUCAAGUCUAGCCUGGGCUGCAGAGCGACAGCCUGUUGGGAAAAGCAAGUAAUAGCGUAAGAUCUGAUGUGAUUGAAAUGGUGGUUCCAGAUAUUUUACAAAUAUGGACGUGAUUGUACAAAGGAUAUAGAGCAGAAGAGUGGCCUCUUGGACCCAGGCUCCCAGCUCCCCUUCCUGAAGCAUUCCCGAGCUGCCACUUUCUUCAGAAGCCCUCUGAAGAUGCCAUACAUGUGUACAUAGAACACACACAAAUGGAAGCCAACUCCAGGGGCCAGCAGGGUGCCUAGAGGCACGUGCUGCUGCUAGGCUUGACCACCUGUGUUCUGCUCUCAGGACCUACACGGCGGAAGGAGAGGACAGACUGCUCUCUGCCCCCCCCCCCCCCGCAUCGGUGGAGUGACCUCCACCCUCCUCCACAAUAAAAAUAAAUAAAUACACACACAAAACAAGACAAAGGAUGCCGCAAGUGGUGGCGGACACCGUGCUGCUCUGCCCCUUCGCUUUUUCAUUUCGUAGAAUCCGGCGAGCAGCUUUCUUUCCUGCUGGCAUCACAGAGAGCUGUCACUGCUCGUUGGUGAUUGCCUAGCACACACGGGGAUACAGAGGCGACACACAGUGGGUGGUCAGGCAUUUCCGGUCUUUUUGUGGGUAUAAACACACACACUGCUGUGAAUAUCCCUGGACCCAUGUCAUUUCGCAAAGGUACGUCUGGAUGGAUCAAAAAUUACCCGUCGGGGUGGUGAGAUGUCUCGGUGGGCAAAGGCGCUUGCUGCUAAGCGCGAGUUCCAUCCCUAGGAUCCCCACGAUGGAAGGAGAGCACCCCCUCCUGUAAGCUCUUCUCGGACCUCUUACACGUGUGCAGUGGUGAUCCCCACAAUAAAUAACCGU
Meriones unguiculatus (Mongolian gerbil) is the source of this 3290-nucleotide long non-coding RNA. RefSeq lists it as uncharacterized. NCBI's taxonomy places the organism in Eukaryota, Metazoa, Chordata, Mammalia, Rodentia, Muridae. The transcript has 5 exons. The record is from RefSeq and is a predicted model, not a curated record.